UUCACACCCAAUUUUGUUUCUUAAUACUAUGUGAAUUAUUUGGGGCAACGAGAACAAACAAGUCAGUUUAAUUUCAAAUUGGUUUCUCAAUACAAACCCUGAAAUUCUACUCAUGAACACAAACAACUACACUGCAGGUUCACUUCCAAAUGGGUUUCUCAAUGCAAACCCUUAAAUUCUAAUUUAUCUUCUCUGAAUUCCGAUCCAUCUCAUCAUAAUGUCAUUUCUUCAAUUUUCAGGUACCUGAGAUAGUGGUGCUUCGCACAAGGAUUAGAUUCGGAGGCUAGUUCUUAUUGUGUAUUUACUAGGUAGUCUAUAGUGCUCUGGUCAUGUAACACUUGGGUUUAUGGGAUUAUUUAUAUUUGUUUUGAUGUUGAGAGAUAUUUUUGUGCUUUCUUUUAUCUUGUUAUUUGGAUAUGUUGGUUUUGAUGUUGAGUGGCCUUAGAGCCCAAAAUGAUAUUUUGUGGUAGAUGAUUUAUGGGAAUCAUCACUAUUUACCAUUUAUGAAGAGAGGUGUUAUUCCGA
Lathyrus oleraceus (garden pea) is the source of this 525-nucleotide long non-coding RNA. RefSeq lists it as uncharacterized. NCBI's taxonomy places the organism in Eukaryota, Viridiplantae, Streptophyta, Magnoliopsida, Fabales, Fabaceae. The record is from RefSeq and is a predicted model, not a curated record. The transcript has 2 exons.